UAUUAAAAAUUUCAAUUAUUUCUAUUGUUAAAAACUGAUGUGGUUGACAAAAUAAUUAAACAGUUACACGUGAUGUGCUAUGUGUACCUCAUGUUGACGUACAAUGGCCAAUUUUUAACGUUGAAAAUAGAUGGAAUUUUUAACA
This is a non-coding RNA of Gossypium raimondii (Peruvian cotton), 145 nucleotides long. Lineage: Eukaryota; Viridiplantae; Streptophyta; Magnoliopsida; Malvales; Malvaceae. The record is from Rfam.